RNAcentral lists this ribosomal RNA (427 nucleotides) under uncultured bacterium. RNAcentral's name for it is "bacterial SSU rRNA". It matches the Rfam family "Bacterial small subunit ribosomal RNA", at positions 355 to 774 of the family's 1533-position model. The record is from RNAcentral.
UGGGGAAUUUUGGACAAUGGACGCAAGUCUGAUCCAGCCAUGCCGCGUGCGGGAAGAAGGCCUUCGGGUUGUAAACCGCUUUUGUCAGGGAAGAAACGAGUUUCUCUAAUACAGAGACUUAAUGACGGUACCUGAAGAAUAAGCACCGGCUAACUACGUGCCAGCAGCCGCGGUAAUACGUAGGGUGCAAGCGUUAAUCGGAAUUACUGGGCGUAAAGCGUGCGCAGGCGGUUAUGCAAGACAGAUGUGAAGUCCCCGGGCUCAACCUGGGAACUGCAUUUGUGACUGCAUAGCUGGAGUGCGGCAGAGGGGGAUGGAAUUCCGCGUGUAGCAGUGAAAUGCGUAGAUAUGCGGAGGAACACCGAUGGCGAAGGCAAUCCCCUGGGCCUACACUGACGCUCAUGCACGAAAGCGUGGGGAGCAAACA